AUGAGAAGUGAGAAUCAUCCCUCUUCUUGUUUAACCCGGAGCCGCCCCCACACUCCUUGCCUGGAGCACGUAGCCGAUGUGGUCUCGGCCGAAUCAGAAGCGUCGCGUCAAGGUCUAAUGCUCAUUCAGAGCCUUGGGUGUGCCAACGUAAUUGUCCAAACUGAUAAUGUAACCGUGGUAGAGGCGUUGAAUUUGAACGAGGGUUACUCAAUGAUUGCAGCACCAAUACUUAAUGAAUGUCGAAGUCUACUUUCAAAUUUCGGAAAGGUACUUGUUGAACAUUGUAACAGGUAG
This 294-nucleotide ribosomal RNA is filed under the name Triticum aestivum (bread wheat). RNAcentral's name for it is "partial small subunit ribosomal RNA". Lineage: Eukaryota; Viridiplantae; Streptophyta; Magnoliopsida; Poales; Poaceae. The record is from RNAcentral.